This 168-nucleotide ribosomal RNA is filed under the name Gammaproteobacteria bacterium. RNAcentral's name for it is "partial 16S ribosomal RNA". It matches the Rfam family "Bacterial small subunit ribosomal RNA", at positions 1 to 147 of the family's 1533-position model. The record is from RNAcentral. Lineage: Bacteria; Pseudomonadati; Pseudomonadota; Gammaproteobacteria.
UUGAACUGGAGAGUUUGAUCCUGGCUCAGAUUGAACGCUGGCGGUAGGCCUAACACAUGCAAGUCGAACGGUAACGGACCGCUGGGAUUCCUUCGGGAUGACCUUGGUGCCGACGAGUGGCGGACGGGUGAGUAACACGUAGGAAUCUGCCAAACAGUGGGGGACAAC